This 23-nucleotide small nuclear RNA is filed under the name Arabidopsis thaliana (thale cress). RNAcentral describes it as "snRNA_16379". Lineage: Eukaryota; Viridiplantae; Streptophyta; Magnoliopsida; Brassicales; Brassicaceae. The record is from RNAcentral.
AUGUAAAAACAGAUAAUUAGCAU